CCCUGCCACCCCCCGUCCCUGGGUUCUUGCUACCCCCUCCUCAUUCUCUGCCUGCAAGCCUCGCACAGGAAGGCUUGGGAUAUUUCUGCCAGCUCUCUGGGGAGUUCUCUGUCUAAAUUUAGAGCAGCUAUUACCCCUCAGUACCUGCUUCCCACAUGGGUGGCUGAUUUGCGUCCUGAGAGCCCCAGAGGGGAGAGCGGUGCAGAUGCUUUGCCGUGUGACCUACCCAGCCCUUGGAGCCAGCUCCUGGGCAGAGAGAAGGCGGAGAGGAGAGGGAAGGCGAGGAAGGUGGCAGCCACGGCCCAGGAUCAACCGCAUGCACGUGGAGAGGGCCGGUGGGCCUCUGCCCGAGAGACACCAUGGGGGAGGGAUGAGUGUUGGGACCUCCUGGCCCACCGCCUGGCUGACGUUACUCCGAUGCUCAUACACUGGCCUGUGACAGCAGGUGUCCACCCCAGGCUCCUGGGCCCAACUCUCCCCAGGAGGGAUUCGGGCUCCAUGGGGGACCAGGUGAUCGGGCGACUGCGUGGAUCCUCCUGGGCAGGCCCAAAGAUGUGCGCCGAGAGCCUGGUCGCUCCCAGGGCUGCAAGCAGUGAUGAAGCUGGCCCUGUCUGGAGCCAGAGCAGAUGCACCGAGUCCAUGCAUGGCUGUGCACACACCUUCACAGGAACUGGGGCAGCAGAACGCCUCUCAGCCAUCUAGGCCGACUGGCAAGGAGGUGGCCAAGGCUGAGAGAGAGAUACAUAUAUAUAUAUAUAUAUGUAUGUAUGACAUAUAUGUAUGUGUAAUAUAUGUAUGUAUACCGUGCAUACAUAUAUGCAUAUACACACAUAUACAUAUACAAAUGUAUGUAUGACAUAUAUAUAUAGCAAACAAAGGGCACAGUAGUGACAAGGCUAAUGGCUUCGAAUACAACCUUAGUAGAGAGCUUGGUGUGAACUGAAUUGUGUGCACCCACUACACACACAUUGCUACAGUGAAGUCCUAACUUUGGUACCUGUGACCAUGAGCUUGGUUGGAAAUAGGGCGUUUGCAGCUGUAAAUAGUUAGGAUGACAUAACCCUGGAGUGGGGUGGGCCCCUAAUCCGUUAUGACUGGUGUCCUUAGAACAAGUGGGGAUUUGCACACAGACACGCCCAGAGAGAACACUGUGGAUCAGCCACGACCCCGCAGAAGCCAGGGGAGAGGCCUGGGGUGGACCUUUCCCUCCAGCCUGCAGAGGGACCACAGCCCUGCCGACACCUUGAUCUUGAACUUCUGGCCUCCAGAACUGGGAGAGAAUACUGUUUAACUCGAAAAGACCCCUGUGAAGUUGAGGGUCUUACCGUUUCACAGAUGAAGAAAUGAAGACUCUGAACAUCUGAAUGACUUGUUCAGACUAAUUCAGCCAGCUGGAGGUAAACCCAGAGUUUAAUUCAACUCUUCUGAUGUGAACUCUGGAUCCAGGGAAAUAAACGUAAGUGCUGUAGCAUCUUCCAGCUUCCUGAUAUAUUCAGGUUUUAAUGUUCUUUUAAAGCUUUGGGCUCUCCAGAUAUUGUUCGAGUGAACCCUCUCCCAUGCACCAACCUGCCUCUGAGAAAUUGAUUCCUUUUCAGGGAGAGAAACCCAGGAACCUUUCUUUCUGUGCUAUAAAUGUCCCCCAGGGCACUACUUUAGCUGCAUCCCACAAAUUGUGCUGUUUUGCAUUUUGUUUUAAUCUAUUUCAGUAUAUUUUAAAAGGUUUUCCU
This 1727-nucleotide long non-coding RNA is filed under the name Aotus nancymaae (Ma's night monkey). RNAcentral's name for it is "lncRNA (ENSANAG00000038862.1)". The record is from RNAcentral. Lineage: Eukaryota; Metazoa; Chordata; Mammalia; Primates; Aotidae.